Molecule: ribosomal RNA, 608 nt
Filed under: uncultured soil bacterium
Lineage: Bacteria
Description: bacterial SSU rRNA
Rfam family: Bacterial small subunit ribosomal RNA
Source: RNAcentral
GCCCUAANACGAUGUCAACUGGGUUGUUGGUGGGGUUAAACCCAUUAGUAACGAAGCUAACGCGUGAAGUUGACCGCCUGGGGAGUACGGCCGCAAGGUUAAAACUCAAAGGAAUUGACGGGGACCCGCACGAGCGGUGGAUGAUGUGGAUUAAUUCGAUGCAACGCGAAGAACCUUACCUACCCUUGACAUGCCAGGAAGCCUGCUGAGAGGCGGGUGUGCCCGAAAGGGAGCCUGGACACAGGUGCUGCAUGGCUGUCGUCAGCUCGUGUCGUGAGAUGUUGGGUUAAGUCCCGCAACGAGCGCAACCCUUGUCACUAGUUGCUACGGUAACGGGCACUCUAGUGAGACUGCCGGUGACAAACCGGAGGAAGGUGGGGAUGACGUCAAGUCCUCAUGGCCCUUAUGGGUAGGGCUUCACACGUCAUACAAUGGCGCAUACAGAGGGCUGCCAACCCGCGAGGGGGAGCCAAUCCCAGAAAGUGCGUCCUAUCCGGAUUGCAGUCUGCAACUCGACUGCAUGAAUCGGAAUCGCUAGUAAUCGCGGAUCACAAUGUCGCCGUGAAUACUUCCCGGGUCUUGUUCACACCGCCCGUCACACCAUGGGA